This 1088-nucleotide ribosomal RNA is filed under the name Ixodes hexagonus (hedgehog tick). RNAcentral describes it as "SSU rRNA". It matches the Rfam family "Eukaryotic small subunit ribosomal RNA", at positions 40 to 1123 of the family's 1831-position model. The record is from RNAcentral. Lineage: Eukaryota; Metazoa; Arthropoda; Arachnida; Ixodida; Ixodidae.
AAGAUUAAGCCAUGCAUGUCUAAGUACAUGCCGAAACAAGGCGAAACCGCGAAUGGCUCAUUAAAUCAGUUAUGGUUCCUUAGAUCGUUUCUUCCUACUUGGAUAACUGUGGCAAUUCUAGAGCUAAUACAUGCAGUGAGCCCGAAGCCCCUCGGGGCGACGGGUGCUUUUAUUAGACCAAGAUCAAUCGGGCUUCGGUCCGUUUUGUGUGGUGACUCUGGAUAACUUUGUGCUGAUCGCACGGCCACGAGCCGGCGACGUUUCUUUCAAGUGUCUGCCUUAUCAACUGUCGAUGGUAGGUUAUGCGCCUACCAUGGUUGUUACGGGUAACGGAGAAUCAGGGUUCGAUUCCGGAGAGGGAGCCUGAGAAACGGCUACCACAUCCAAGGAAGGCAGCAGGCGCGCAAAUUACCCACUCCCGGCACGGGGAGGUAGUGACGAAAAAUAACAAUACGGGACUCUUUUGAGGCCCCGUAAUUGAAAUGAGUACACUCUAAAUCCUUUAACGAGGAUCCAUUGGAGGGCAAGUCUGGUGCCAGCAGCCGCGGUAAUUCCAGCUCCAAUAGCGUAUACUAAAGUUGCUGCGGUUAAAAAGCUCGUAGUUGGAUCUCAGUUGCAGGCGGGAAGUGCGUGGACACCACGUUACGUCCCGUGCUGGACAUCAUGCCUGUCCUGGCUUGGUUCCCUUCAUCAGGUGCCUUGCUAUGGCCGGCGCGUUUACUUUGAAAAAAUUAGAGUGCUCAACGCAGGCGAUUCGCCUGAAUAACAGUGCAUGGAAUAAUAGAACAAGAUCCUGUUUCUGUUCUGUUGGUUUUUGGAAUACAGGAUAAUGAUUAAGAGGGACAGACGGGGGCAUUCGUAUUGCGGCGCUAGAGGUGAAAUUCUUGGACCGUCGCAAGACGAACUACUGCGAAAGCAUUUGCCAAGAAUGUUUUCUUUGAUCAAGAACGAAAGUUAGAGGUUCGAAGGCGAUCAGAUACCGCCCUAGUUCUAACCAUAAACGAUGCCAACCAGCGAUCCGCCUGAGUUACUCAAAUGACUCGGCGGGCAGCUUCCGGGAAACCAAAGUAUUUGGGUUCCGGGGGAAG